UUUGUUUCGGUCAUUGGUUUUUGAAAAUUACCCUGUAAAUUGUUUAUUAUUAUAAACGUGAUAAUAUAUAUUUAUUAUUAUACAUAUUUGAAACAUAGGAAUAAUCGAGCACAAGGUACAGUCUACUCGUGCGUUGCAUGGAUAUUUUCACAGAAUGCGCAUACGGGAAAAUCCGUUAAGUCUAAAUAUACUCUGAUGGUAACACUGUGCCGCAAUAUCCGUUCUCCUCGUUCAGCUAUCGGUAGACAAGAUGCAGUUAUUUUCGUUCGAAAUACACUAUGAUUUCCAUCAUUUUAAAAUGUUUGAUUAAUCUACCAGACGUUUAUGAGAGAAGUUAAACAGACCGUUACCCGCAUAGAUCAACAGGUUUAAUAAAGAAACCCAUCGUCCAAA
Molecule: long non-coding RNA, 393 nt
Organism: Bombus pascuorum
Lineage: Eukaryota; Metazoa; Arthropoda; Insecta; Hymenoptera; Apidae
Exons: 2
Source: RefSeq, a predicted model, not a curated record